This 253-nucleotide ribosomal RNA is filed under the name uncultured bacterium. RNAcentral's name for it is "partial 16S ribosomal RNA". It matches the Rfam family "Bacterial small subunit ribosomal RNA", at positions 524 to 776 of the family's 1533-position model. The record is from RNAcentral.
UACGUAGGGGGCAAGCGUUGUCCGGAUUUAUUGGGCGUAAAGAGCGUGUAGGCGGCCAGGUAGGUCAGCUGUGAAAACUCGAGGCUCAACCUCGAGACGCCGGUUGAAACCAUCUGGCUAGAGUCCGGAAGAGGAGAGUGGAAUUCCUGGUGUAGCGGUGAAAUGCGCAGAUAUCGGGAGGAACACCUAUGGCGAAGGCAGCUCGCUGGGACGUUACUGACGCUGAGACGCGAAAGCGUGGGGAGCAAACAGG